CCCUUAGAUGUUCUGGGCCGCACGCGCGCUACACUGACUACUUCAACGAGUUGUUUCCUUGAUCGAAAGGUCUGGGUAAUCUUUGAAAGGUAGUCGUGAUGGGGAUAGAUUCUUGCAAUUUUUGAUCUUCAACGAGGAAUUCCUAGUAAACGCAAGUCAUCAGCUUGCAUUGAUUACGUCCCUGCCCUUUGUACACACCGCCCGUCGCACCUACCGAUUGAAUGGUCCGGUGAAUCUUUAGGACUGUGGCUGAGGCCUUGCCUUGUGCGGGUCUGGCCGUGGGAAUUUAGUUAAACCUUACCAUUUAGAGGAAGGUGAAGUCGUAACA
Molecule: ribosomal RNA, 328 nt
Filed under: uncultured eukaryote
Lineage: Eukaryota
Description: partial 18S ribosomal RNA
Rfam family: Eukaryotic small subunit ribosomal RNA
Source: RNAcentral